Non-coding RNA from Cinara cedri, 215 nucleotides. Lineage: Eukaryota; Metazoa; Arthropoda; Insecta; Hemiptera; Aphididae. The record is from the annotation of a GenBank genome assembly.
UUUUUUUAAUUUCAAGAAAGGCCAUUUGUUUAAUUUUUAAUACCUACUGUCUCGUAUCAUUAAAUCGAAAAUCAAUAAUAUGUCAAACCCUAGAUUAUGUUGUCCGUCCCAAAUUUUCAUAAAACGAGUAAAAACUCAAAAAUCACUUCGGUACCUUAUUUUUCCUGUUUAACGUGCACAUGCCUAUUUUCGAACGCAUUAAUUCACCAUUAUAC